UUUUUUUUUUUUUACAACUUAAGCAAACUCAUUUCCCUGAUAAAAUAUAGCAUGACUAAUGGCUAGAGCAUGUAAAAAUCAUUGGGAAAAUGUCCUUGGAAGACGAAUGCAUUUUCAGCAGAAUAAUUAACUUAAUUAACAAAUUCACAUGCAUAUUCAUCAGGCUAUUAAUGUCUUCUCGGCUCAGCUUGAUGAACAUUGCGGUAAUAACCAUCUCAUUUACAUACUGCAUUCUACUGCGAUCCAAAACAGAGACAACAUACAGGCGUACACACAUACACACACACACACACACACACACACUCUUACACCGAUACACACAACAUGCCUCUGCCGCUUUGACUUCCAGGUUGGUUGGGAGUGUGUGCGUGUGUAUACGCGUGUGUGCAUUUGUGACCGGGAUCGGGGGUGAGAGUGGGAACCCCGGACAGGGUGGUGUGAUCUUUAGAGGGCUGUGAGUGAGACGGGCUGAGGAUGCCCACAUGUGAAUGUCUGAGAGAACUUUAAUUCUCUCGUGCCCUCUCUCUUUGCCUCUUUUUUCCUUGUUUCCUUUUCUCUGUGUCAUUUUCUCCCUUCUUCUCUACCCCCCCCCCCCAACCAUGUCUCUCUAGGGAAAAACUUGGUAUCUGUGCCAACUUCCCCCCCCUUCCUCCCUCUCUCCUUCCCCUCUCCCAACUGCUGCCAGCCGGCAUCAGCGCCGAAUUGCCAUCUCCUUGAGCUCUCUGUGGAGCAAUCUCAGAGAGCAGUAAGGUGUGACGCGGGGCUCUGCCGGCUUCGCAGCACCGCCUGCGGAAAGAACGCAGGAUGGCGGAGGAAGAUUAAGAGAAAUCGCGAGCAGGGCUCCGCUGCCAUUGGUGUGUGCAAACGCCGAGGAGGAAGGGAGAGGGAGAGCGGGAAGGGGGGGUAGGAAGGGAGGGGGGAAACCAGCAGCUGUCGGCCUAAUUCUUCUAACACUCUGCUUGUGGUCAUAUUAGAAAAACAGAUUAUGCCCCUCGGUGCCACUCACUUAUACUUGACGUACGUUAAUGUUCUAUAUCUCCAUUCUCGGGGCUUGACGACAGUGGACCUCAGAUCUAGGAGGAUGAGGGACUAGGUGGCCAAGGGCCAAAAAAAGACCCUGCCUCCUCAUUCUUCUUGACCUCCAACCCCUCAGUUUAUAUUUGCCCUUCAGAAAGGAAGCCUGGGCCCAGAAUUUGCAUCUGAUGCCAGGAUUUUCCCCUGCUUUCUUCAGCCCCUUAGGAGGUGCAUCUGGAAGCCCUUUCCCCUAAAAGUCACUCCCCCUUUAGGGUUUUAAUAGGUCACUUUAGGGCCAAGUGUGACUAGCUUUGUGGCAUCCCCACUCCCAACCUUUCCAUGAUCCCUCCAUGGACCCUCCCCCUCAAAUCAGAAAUUGAGGGUCAGAGACAGGAGUGUACGAAAGUUGUGCUCCAUGAGAGGGUUACAGAGAAGCCAUAAGUAAAACAAGGCCAGGAUUGUUUCUGGGUUGCUAUAGAAACCAGGUUCCCUCCUCCUGGCAGGAAGGGAGGAGUGCCUGAGGCCUUCCUUCUUCCACCAAUCCUGAAGGCUACAAAGGCGGAGUUUGCUGAGGCCUGGGGGAUAGGGCUGGUCUUGGAUAAAUGAGCCAGAGCCAUUUUUCCCACCACCACCAAGGCCCACCUGCCAGUCUGUAGCCCUUUGACCCCCACCUUCCCUACCCUCUCACCCCAAUAUUCAGUCAAAGGAGGCUUUUUCCUCUAGGUGCCUUGUCCUCUGUGGAGACCUGUUGCUUAGCAACCACCAGCUCCUUCUUCCUAAUAACUCGCAGGGACUGAGAGAUAUAAUAUCUGUCUCUAUAUUCAGUUUCCCUCCCUUGUCUAUUUAUAUUUAAUAGCUGAAGCCCUGUCUUGGGUUCCCUUGGCAUCUGUUUUAGAGGGAAUAAGCUGCAGCCUUAUAAAGUUACACCUGAGGAAGAACUUCCAAACAAGAGUGGGAGAAAGAAAAAACCUGCAGUAGGUAGGGAAGCUAUGGGAUCAUAUUCUCGUAAGUAUAGGUAGAGGGAAAAAAUAGUGUUUAGAGCUUGGAAUGUGGGGAGAAGAUGUCCACGGGGAUUCCCAAAGGGUCUACUCAGGACCCAGAAUGGACACCAACAGAGCUGCUUCCCGGACUGGUAUCUUCCCUCCCGACACCUUGCCCUACACCUCUGACCUGACCAUUUCCGGUCUGGUCAGGAGACCCGGGUUUGGGGCCCUCUCCUUACUUUCCUGUGAUCCAAGUUAUUCACUUAAUCUUGUAAACCCCUGUUGCUUCAUCUGUAGAUCAAGAGUAGUAAUAACAUUCACCUCCCUGGACUUUAGCUGCAUCCGUUAAAGUAAUAUAUGAAAGGAAACGCCUUGGAAGCUAUCAGAUUUGACUAAAAUAUCAUUUUAAGGUCUGGCAAAGGUCUGACUGCUGGGAAGAGGGAGUCAUCAUGAAUCGAACCUGGCCUUGGGCUUAGAAAGGCCAUUAGUUUUUGGGUCAGAAGGAUGUGAUUCCUUGCCCUCUGGUUGGUAGGGAGCUUUAAAUCAAAAUCAAACACAAAGCUGUCUGGGGAGAAUAGUGGCCCAGUGUUCGUACCCGCCUCCUGGAUCUUCAUUCCCAACCUCUGACCUCUAGUUCUUCUUCCCACUGAUACCCCAGGCUGACCCUCCACUCCCUUCUCCCCCGGCAGCACCUUCACUGCCAUUGUUCUGGCUUACAGACUGUACAGUUUCACCCUCUAUACCCCCCUUCUCAGCACCUCCUCCAACCCAAGCCUUCUGUGGGAGACAGAUGGGGUGUCUGCAAUGGAAAAGGCUCUGGGCUCUACGCCGCCUUGGGUGGGCAGCCCCCCUCCUCAUCUCCCAACUACUCCCUCUCCCUACCUAAGACACUCAGAUUCACCCCGGGCAGCUUUGGGAGCUGCUGAGGAUUCCAGCUCUCUUCUCAGACUCAGCCCCAGAAGCAGAACCAGACAGCAUCUUUCUCUGAGACCUAGACCCCAGCAGCUCUUCAUGGAAGACCAGUGCAAAGGAAGAGCAGGUUGGGGGAUGGUGGAGCUCUAUGCGACGGGACUAAUGUGGAGAAGCAGGGAAAGGCCCAGAGUCCCUCACUGAGGACUGGAUGGCUGGGGUUUGGAGCCUGAGUUGACAGAGGAGGCCGAGCCUAGGCAAUUCCUUUGUUCCAGAAAUCUGGGGUCCCUGGAGGGAGGCUCAGCUUAGGGAGGGGGGAAAGGGAGCUAACAUUACAGAGCACCAACUGUGAGCCAGGCAUGAUGCCAGAGCCUCUCCAUACCUGUACUCACAACUAGCAGGUGAAGAGUCAGGGCAAAUAGGUGUCUCGCAAGCUCGCAGCAUCUCUCGGCACAGCUGACCACCUCCUCCUUGGAUUCUGCGAUGUCACUGCCAAUUCUCCUACCACUGUGGCUGCUCUUUCUCCGUCUCCCUUGCAAACUCAUCCUCAACUCCUUAGACUCAGCCAAGUCCCCCGAUUAUAUACUUUCAUGGUACUGUAUAUUCUUUCGUAGCAUUUAGCACAGUUAUUUCAUUCUUAUUUGUGCAGUCAUUUUAAUAAUGAUCCUAUUUCCCCCACCGGAUAGAAAGUGCCACAAGGACAGUGACCAAUGUGCUCCUGGUGCCCAGCACAGUACCUGCCAUGAAGCAGCUGUUUGGUAAAUAUUUGUUGAAUGAAUGAAUAAAUGACAAAGGGUCAUUUCUCCAGCCUAAACUCAGCUUCUUAGUCACUCUACAACCCCAGAGCUGACUUGCCUGCAAUGUGUGGAUGAGAAAACAGAGUGCUUGGGAAGCCAGGCCGCCUCAUUCUCUCUGGAAAAAGCUGACAAGACAGGACAGCCCAAAUGCCCGGAUAUGGAGCCCCUCUCUUGCCUAAGUCUGGCCCUGCCUGUCUGCUCUCCAGCUUCUCCAGGGAUUGAGAGAAUUCAAUGUUCCAAUGUCUCCCCACACUGAGGCCUGAAAUCACUCAGGUGCUGGAAGGGAGAAGUUCACUGGGGAAGGAUACUCUGCAAAAAACCCCUCUUUUCUGCCUUAGCUGAGACUGCAGAGACCACCUGCUACCACCCCUCUGUUUGCUUCUGUCUUCUUUCCCUGGGCUCCAGGGAAGCGGGUGGUUUGACCAAGUGGGAGGGAUAGAUGGUAGAAUAUGGUAAGAGCAAACCAGUCUGCCUGUUCCUUGAAAUGUCUAGGGGGUUGCUGAUAAGCCUCAGCCAGGUGAUUGGAGCAGAGGAACACAGGAUCCAGCAGCCUCAAGUCCUUUGAGGACCCUGGGAAGCAGGGGUGGACAAAAUGACCUCUAGGUGUAGUCGGCCUUCAAUCCAGGGCUUUAUCUGACCCCUUUGCUGCCCUUGCCACCUGACCUCAAAUGAUAUUCCCGAGUCUCCAAGAAGUUAGAGUUAGGCCAGGCCCAGCAGCCCUUUGCUCUUCCUGGCCCCUCCUCCUUCUAGCCAGCCACCCGGCCCAGAGCGUCUCUCCCACCCAGCUUAGAACCAAUACCCAGUCCUCAUGAUGGCCUCUCACCCAGUCCCUUUUUCCUGACAGUGCCCCUCAGUCAUGGAUCUGGAAGCCACUCUAGGCAUUGUUGCUCCCUCUGACCCCACCUGUACUCUGGACCCCUAAUGAAGUAGGACAACUCAGGCUAUGGGCCAAGUCCUUGUGUCCUCAUCAAAAGCAACAUCUGUCUCCUCCAAGAAGAUAACCCUGCAGAGAGGCGGGUGAGACAGGCACAGGGUAGGAACCCCCAUCCUGCCUGGGUCCUCACCCCAGAUUCCACUGCAGGCACAGAUUGAGGGUGAGAGCCAGGACAGCCACAGAGGCCUCCACUCACACAUGCCCCUGCCAGGCCUUCAUGCCUCUGAGCCUCUGAAUACGAGGGCCCCCUCCUUGACUCACCCAGCUACCUGGGCUGCUGCUGCUGCCAAGCCAGCCUUCUUUUAUUCAUGCGUUGUUUUAUUGCUGGCAAAUGCUGCUGCUUGCUGCUGUUGGAGGCGUUCCUGCCAAAUCCAUCCCAACAUCUUGGCCUGGCAUCAGGGCGGCAUGCUAAUGUGGAAAUUUAAAGAGCUGCUCGGCUUUAAAUCGGAAUUUUAAAUGAGCAGCAGUGAUCCAGAGGGACCUAGGCAAAAUCGACAGUAUCCGAUCCACCCUUCCCACUCCCACUCAUGUAGCAUCACCCCACUUCCUCCCACCUCUCCCCUUGACUUGGACAUUAGACGAGAGAGUGGUAUGGGACACCCUAGGGGAAGAAGGAAUUGGUGCAAGAUAGAGUCAGUUGGGUCAGUAAGUAGCUGGGAUCCUUCCACCCAGGACCGAGAAGUGAUCCACUGCUUGCUGUCAUGGGCACAUGGAGACAGGGAAUCGCUACACGAGGGAGCAGGGCUGGGGAUUUUGAAAAUGACAUUCCAACCCCACUUCCCAUUUUACCAGGAAAUAAAGAGAAGGACCAGAGCAGAGAAGAGGAAAGGUAGAAUUCCAUUAGGACCCUCACAUGCAACCCAGGGAUGUGUACACACAGCUGUGCAUGCAGGUCAGAAUGCUUUCUGAGUCCCCCUGCAGCUUACAUACAUGCACCUUGUACACCACUCUACAUGGAGAAAGGAUUUUCACAUGUGCAGGGCAGUCUUUUUUCCCAUAGCCAGGCCACUGCCCUAACCAGGGCUAGCCGGUUUCUGCACGUUGCUAGCCUGACCAAACCCCAGGUUUCCCCAUAAAUCCUAACACACCAACAUUCUCCAGCUCCUGGCAGCUACCUUGAGUCAGCCAUGGUGGUGACAGAGCCCCACAGCGACUCUGCCCGAAUAAGGCUACAGAGUUGGAGCCUUGGUUAUAGUGUGGAGGUGAUCAGCUCACCUGAGAGAGGUGCUGGGCAUAGCCUUGAUUUCAGAAGUAAGGGGGCUAAUGGGAGAGGAGAGGCAGAAUCGGUGUCUCUCUGUGAUUUCCUCUCCUACUUACCUGUCUCCAGGAGACAGGUGGCCCCUCAUUAUCAGAAAAUCUGGAGUUCCCGUCGUGGCGCAGUGGUUAACGAAUCCGACUAGGAACCAUGAGGUUGCGGGUUCGGUCCCUGCCCUUGCUCAGUGGGUUAACGAUCUGGCGUUGCCGUGAGCUGUGGUGUAGGUUGCAGACUCGGCUCGGAUCCUGCGUUGCUGUGGCUCUGGCGUAGGCUGGUGGCUGCAGCUCCGAUUCAACCCCUAGCCUGGGAACCUCCAUAUGCCACGGGAGCGGCCCAAGAAAUAGCAACAACAACAACCAAAAG
This 6255-nucleotide long non-coding RNA is filed under the name Sus scrofa (pig). Its description in RNAcentral is "lncRNA (ENSSSCG00000058592.1)". The record is from RNAcentral. Lineage: Eukaryota; Metazoa; Chordata; Mammalia; Artiodactyla; Suidae.